CCCCUUUAAAAAWGGRUAAAACUUUGGUCUUAGUGUAUACGAGUUUUUGAACAUAAAGGAGUAAUAACAAAUUGAUUCUUAAGGUUUGUUAUUGCUCCUUUCUUUAAUCUUUAAUUAAGUAGUUUUUUUCUGACGUGAGUUUUAUUUAUUAUUAUUAUUUUUUUUUUUUUUAGUAUUYUUAGGGACGGGUUCAUCAUUCGAAAUCAWAUUUUUUUUUGUUUUGUAUUAAUUUAAAUAWGUAUAUGUUAUAUUUUAUGUUUUUAUGUUUUUCCCUUUUUUUGUUCAAAAAAAUCCCGACCAUCAACACGACG
This 311-nucleotide unclassified non-coding RNA is filed under the name Hibbertia salicifolia. RNAcentral's name for it is "partial miscellaneous RNA". The record is from RNAcentral. Lineage: Eukaryota; Viridiplantae; Streptophyta; Magnoliopsida; Dilleniales; Dilleniaceae.